RNAcentral lists this ribosomal RNA (363 nucleotides) under Triticum aestivum (bread wheat). Its description in RNAcentral is "partial small subunit ribosomal RNA". Lineage: Eukaryota; Viridiplantae; Streptophyta; Magnoliopsida; Poales; Poaceae. The record is from RNAcentral.
AUGGAUGGCGAGUGGAUAGUCACAUCAGAGCUUAGUUUUGGCUCCAAAAAAGCGAUGAAGGGGGCAUGCGGAAUUAGGGUUUCCAAUGAAGGAUUUGGUGCGGCUGAAUGUGGGUGCAAAUUGACGCCAGUUAAUAGGGUUUGCAAUGAAGGAUUUGAUGUAGGCCGACGAUUUCUGAGUUGUCCAUACGAGGGGUUAAACUCCUGUGGGUAUUUGAGGUGGAUGGAUGAUGCAUGGCAGGGCAGAUCAAGGGUGGUAAUUGGAAAGCUUGCAAAUGACAACCAGAAGCUACAAAAUGCUUUGCUUGACAAGGAACAAGACAUUCAGAGGAUGAAGAAAGAGAGGAAUAAAUUAGAUGAGUAG